GAAAGGGAAAAACACAACAAUUAUAUACACACCAAGACCAUUUUUGGAUAAGGACGAAUAUAACAAAAAAAGGGACGGACCCACUUGGUGACAGAGAGCACAAGCACACAAUAUACUCCCUCACAAAUACACACAUAGGAAGGAAUUCCUCACAAUUUCCAUGCAGAAGAGAACAACCACUCCAUUUUUCCAUUUUUCUUUUCUGAAUAACGUAGACCACAUCCAUGAAAUUCAUCGCUGUAGUACGUACCCACACACAUAUAUCUCACCAUAAAACACUCACUGUCACUAGAAUCUGACCCUCUCCCAUCAGUUUUGUAGCCGUUUGAGCUCUGGAGUUUUGGCUAUACGUCCUUUUCUUGGUUUUUGUGACAAAUUCAGAUAUUUGUUGGUUCACUGCUCUUGGUAGAAUUUUGUUCGUGUAUUGUUUGUUUUCUACAAUUUUAUCUUGGUGUCACUAGAAGACGGUCAAAGGGAUGCAUACCGGAGCUGGGGGUUCGAGUUGAAGUUCCGAAUUGAGGUUUUUUGGCACGCGUAUUUGUAUUCUUGAUUGACUGAUAUUCAGAGUAAAAUUAUCAUUGAGGUCCAUUUCUACUCCUUUUCUCAUUUUAUUUCAUUGUUGAAGGAAUAUGGUGCAUUGGAUGGAAUCUAUGUGUUGUUUGAUCUUGAUUAGUGAUGAAUUGCUACUUUGAUAUUCACUUGUUGCUUAGUUUCAUUGAAAUGGAAAUCGUGAAUUGAGGAAAAUUAGCGUUAAAAGGGAAUUUGGGGUGUGAGAAUUGAAAACUUAAUAUAAUUGGUGAGUUUUGGUUAGUUUGAUUCAUGGGUUGUUUGACUCGAAAUGAACGUUAAUUGAACUUGGCAGUAUCAUGAUACGUCGAUUGGUUUAGGCAAACAUAGGUUGGGUGGCAAACAUAUCGGUAAAAGGUGAAUUUUAUGGUAUUUUGAUUCAUUGUUGAUGGCGAAUAUUGAUAGUAUCAUAUUUUAGACCAAGGAUUGAUAGGAAAAUCGUAGGUUCGGGUAGACAAAUUUAGGGAUGAUGUUUGGUUGAAUGCUUGAAAUCCGUGUUGAAUGGCUUGGUAUGUUCAUUUUUUGGAUCAAAUGUAUCAUUUGGCCGAGGAAUGCCCCGAGCGAUUUGUAUUAAUUUAUUCGAGAAAUGCCCUGAAGUAUUUUAUUGGUGGAAGACAUUCUUGAUGAAGGCCCGAGGCGUCGGGUAAACCACGGGAGCGUAGUUAGGAUUAGUAUAGGUUAGAUAGGAUUUAUUUUUGCAUUUUUUAUUUUGGGACUAUAUAACUCGAACUGGACUUUAUUUUGGUUUUGAACUCUAUUUGAUUUGUUUGUUGCUUACUUUACGUGUUUUUGUGUGAUUUAUACAUCUGUGAUAUCAAAUUAGCCGAUAUGCUCCACCAAGUGACCGUGGUCAAACCACGAGAUCGAGGGGUUCCUAACACCUUCCCCUGGGUUAACAAAAUUUCUUAGCCGGAGUCUCUGUUCGCAAACCAGUUGAAAGAGUCAAAUUGUUUUGAAAAGGAUCUUUUAAAGGUGACUUGACACACCGGAUUAUGUCAAGUGGUGACUCUGAAUAAAAAAUGUAAAUAAUCCUUUUUCGAAAUAAAUUUUUAAUCUUUUGUCACUUUGAUAAUAAAAACCCUUUCAAGCAUUAAAAUCAAAUCUGUUUUUGGAGUUGAAGAAAGGGGUGUGAUAGAGGGCACCUAACCAUAGUCCCAAUUUGGGAUGACAAGAAUCAAGGAUCACAAGAUCACAAAGCAUGGUACCAUAAUCCCGUGUCGGCAAAUCACAGUUUCUAUCAUAAAGUCUUUCAACUCGUACUUUCUUCGGGUAACCAUCUAACUCUCUUAAAUUAAACUCUAACUCUAUCAUGGCAUACAUUUAUAUGGUAUCGCCAUACCAAUGACUUACAAAUCACAGUACCACAUCAAUUCUCCAACUUUUCAUGCCAUUUACAGCAUGCACAUAUAUAAAACUUUCACACACAUCAAACACAUGAACCAUGGUUAUCAACAUGUAAUAGUUUCAAGAAACUCUAUCAUUUAUGAGUAAAAUCAUGUCAAUUGCAAAAUCUCAUGCUCUCAAUGGUUUAACAUAAGUACAGUGUGGGAUAUAAAACAUUAUCAUGGGGGAUUUAAAGAAUUCACAAUUCAUAUACACCACACCUUUUCAAAAUUCAGAUCACAUAUUCACAAUUCAACAAUUGAAAUAUAUGCAAGCCAACAACCCCAUAAUGUAUGAUGUGCAUAUCAUUAUGAUGUUCAGGGUCACAUUAUUGGAGAUUAUCGUGCUUCAAAAAGAGAAAUUGAAAAGAUGACUCAAGAUAAAUCAAUUAUGAUGCAGAACAAGGAAAGCUCUAGUCAUGCUGAUAUGCAAACCAGUGGCUAAGAUGUCAGGCUGAGCAAUUGAGAAGUCACCCCUCCCUACUAGGAAGAGGUCUGGUAGUUUUUUUUUGUUUUAUUUUUUGUUAUCCGAAUUAUUUCAGGGUUGUAGUUUGGGAUCUAUCUUGUUUUGUCCCUUUGUCGUUAUGUUCAAACUCUUUUAUCUUUUGUUUCAACUAAAUGAAGUGUCCCAUUUUCCUUUGUGUUUUAAAUAUGUCUUGUUUGUUUGUUGUCUUUACAUAAUACAUUUUAUGUUGACUCUAGUGAUAAGACAUGCUAGUGAAAUUUUCAGCCAGAUCUUAAAAUCCAGUUUAAGAAUGAGCAUUGAAUCAGAGGGUUAAAUUUAGAAAAAGAGAGCAUCUGAGAAAAUAGAUAGUGUCUUGGGGAAUUUAGUGAUCAAGUUGAAGCCUUUUUUGAAAAUUAAGGCAAUUAUUUUUAGAAUAGUGAGAAUAACUUGGUCAACAUUUGAAAGACAUAUCUCAAUUAGGUCAAAUAGUGGAUGCGUGAUCCUACAUUAAAAGGAAUAGAAAAAUUAACUCCACGAAAGCAUAAGGAAUGUACAACAAAGAUGGAGUUUGCAGAAAAAGUAGUGACGCAUAGUCUCACUUAAAAUUAGUGUUGUAAAAAAUAUCACAAAUGAUCUUCAUCUCUCACUUUCACAUUACAUGAUAUGUACUAGCAUUUUCAAGGAUUGAUAUGAUGAAGGCAAUUCAUUCUGCUAUUCAAACAUCGUGUCAUCCUUUGUUUACCUCAUUUGAGCUUUAGUCUUAUUUUCUUUCAUACCCCUCUUUUGGAAUCAAGAUAGAGUUAGCAAAGCUCAAAAGAAAGGUGUCGAGCGAAAAAAUAGAGUCAAAAGGUAUAAAAAAAAAGAAAAAAUGUGUUCAAAAAUAAAAAAAGAGUGUCAAACAAAAUAGAGUCAGAAAAAUCCCAAAAAGAGAGUUGAUGGCGAAUAUUGAUAGUAUCAUAUUUUAGACCAAGGAUUGAUAGGAAAAUCGUAGGUUCGGGUAGACAAAUUUAGGGAUGAUGUUUGGUUGAAUGCUUGAAAUCCGUGUUGAAUGGCUUGGUAUGUUCAUUUUUUGGAUCAAAUGUAUCAUUUGGCCGAGGAAUGCCCCGAGCGAUUUGUAUUAAUUUAUUUGAGAAAUGCCCUAAAGUAUUUUAUUGGUGGAAGACAUUCUUGAUGAAGGCCUGAGGCGUCGGGUAAACCACGGGAGCGUAGUUAGGAUUAGUAUAGGUUAGAUAGGAUUUAUUUUUGCAUUUUUUAUUUUGGGACUAUAUAACUCGAACUGGACUUUAUUUUGGUUUUGAACUCUAUUUGAUUUGUUUGUUGCUUUCUUUACGUGUUUUUGUGUGAUUUAUACAUCUGUGAUAUCAAAUUAGCCGAUAUGCUCCACCAAGUGACCGUGGUCAAACCACGAGAUCGAGGGGUUCCUAACACCUUCCCCUGGGUUAACAAAAUUUCUUAGCCGGAGUCUCUGUUCGCAAACCAGUUGAAAGAGUCAAAUUGUUUUGAAAAGGAUCUUUUAAAGGUGACUUGGCACACCGGAUUAUGUCAAGUGGUGACUCUGAAUAAAAAAUGUAAAUAAUCCUUUUUCGAAAUAAAUUUUUAAUCUUUUGUCACUUUGAUAAUAAAAACCCUUUUGACCCUUAAAAUGAUAAUCUUUUUUUUGUUGUUGAAAAAGGGGGUGUGACACAAAUAAUUAAAAUCCCUCUUUUGUGAUAACCUUAUGUUUAUGUUCUUAUGGUGAUUGAUUGAAAUGCAUGAUUUAUAGCUUGAAAAUAGUUUACUCAAAUACCAUAGUAUUUUGAGCACGAUAUAGAGAUUUAAGAGAGGGAGUUUUUUGAUGUAAAUAUAUUUUGUUAAAAGAGAAAGAUUUGCAUGAGAUUAAGAGCUUUGACAUGACCACCUUUCAUCAUUGAAAGUUUGACAAAGAGAGUUGCACACAUGUGUUUACAUGAGUUUUAGAGAAAAAGUUCUUUGAAAUGAUUUAUUGAUAUGGUGGUCCCGAAUUUAUGUUUUGAAAACAGAGAUUGAAAUAUGCUAAAAAUGGCUCAGAGAUGUAAUUUGCAAGUCAAUGGUAUGACGAUACUAUAUAAAUUUAUGCCAUAACAGAGUUAGAGUUUUCAGAGAAUGGAUGUCUUCAAGAGUUAAAAAUGGGCAUAAAGAGAGUUAGGUGGUUGCCUGAAGAGUGCUCGAGUUCAAGUAACUCUUAGCCUAAAAUCGUGAUUUGUCGAUCCGAGUAUCUUAGUUUUAUGCUGGCGACGGCCUUGUGGAGUAGAAGAGUCAAAGACUCCAACUCUUGUGGCACACUUGGGUUGGAGGCUUCCCCGCUGAGUCAAUGGCAGAGUCCAUAUAGCCCAUGGAAUUUCAGUGUUGUAGGGUAUACCACCUAGCGCAGAAGUAAAACAAAGAGUGUUGCAGAGUUCAGAUGAUUUUACAAAGUCUUUCAAAAAUGCCCAUGAGAUUUCUUACUAUAUGAUAUGUUUAUGAACUGUCUUAAAAUUGCUCUCAUAUAUGUUGAAUAUAAAUUAUUAUUUUGGAUUUGCUCUGCGUACUAGUACAUCUGUAUUGACCCCCUACCUCCCAGGUUUGGAGGCUCAGUCUGAGGGUCCGGCUAAUCAGUAGAGUAUUCCAGAGAAAAGUGAUCCAUGCAGUGGUGAGCCUUCUUUGUUCCAGAAGGCCUGUUAUUUCGGAUUAUGUUAUUCCAGUGUUUGGUCUACUGGGGGCCUUGUCCCAGUUUUCAAAAUAGUUUUGAGAUGUAUUAGAGAUUUCGUAGACUAAAUCAGAUCUUAUCCAGAAGUUUUGAAAUUAGGCAAGG
This 5203-nucleotide long non-coding RNA is filed under the name Capsicum annuum. RNAcentral's name for it is "long non-coding RNA (CANN_LNC018346)". The record is from RNAcentral. Lineage: Eukaryota; Viridiplantae; Streptophyta; Magnoliopsida; Solanales; Solanaceae.